UUGGAGGGCAAGUCUGGUGCCAGCAGCCGCGGUAAUUCCAGCUCCAAUAGCGUAUAUUAAAGUUGUUGCAGUUAAAAAGCUCGUAGUUGAAUUUCGGGGUUAGUAGGUUGGUCAUGCCUCUGGUAUGUACUGGUCUCACUGAUUCCUCCUUCCUGAUGAGCCGUAAUGCCAUUAAUUUGGUGUUGCGGGGAAUUUGGACUGUUACUUUGAAAAAAUUAGAGUGUUUAAAGCAAGCUAACGCUUGAAUACAUUAGCAUGGAAUAAUGAAAUAGGACGUUCGAUCCUAUUUUGUUGGUUUCUAGGAUUGACGUAAUGAUUAAUAGGGAUAGUUGGGGGCAUUAGUAUUCAAUUGUCAGAGGUGAAAUUCUUGGAUUUAUUGAAGACUAACUACUGCGAAAGCAUUUGCCAAGGAUGUUUUCAUUAAUCAAGAACGAAAGUUAGGGGAUCGAAGACGAUCAGAUACCGUCGUAGUCUUAACCAUAAACUAUGCCGACUAGGGAUCGGAUGAUGUUAAUUUUUUAAUGUCUCAUUCGGCGCCUUACGGGAAAC
This 549-nucleotide ribosomal RNA is filed under the name uncultured Glomeromycotina. RNAcentral's name for it is "SSU rRNA". It matches the Rfam family "Eukaryotic small subunit ribosomal RNA", at positions 548 to 1098 of the family's 1831-position model. The record is from RNAcentral. Lineage: Eukaryota; Fungi; Glomeromycota.